This 497-nucleotide ribosomal RNA is filed under the name uncultured bacterium. RNAcentral describes it as "partial 16S ribosomal RNA". It matches the Rfam family "Bacterial small subunit ribosomal RNA", at positions 28 to 507 of the family's 1533-position model. The record is from RNAcentral.
GACGAACGCUGGCGGCGUGCUUAAUACAUGCAAGUCGAGCGAACAGACGCGGAGCUUUCUGCUCUGACGUUAGCGCCAGCGGGGUGGGAAACCCGUGGAUACCCUCCCUCUAAGACUGGGAUACCUUCUGGAAACCGGAGCAAUUCGCGGUUUAUCUAUUGAUCCGCAUGGUUCAAUAGUGAAAGACGGUAUUGUUGUCUGUUAUAGAUGGAUCCGCGCCGCGUUAGCUAGUUGGUAAGGUAAGGGCUUUCCCAGGCGACGAUGCGUAGCCGACCUGAGAGGGUGAUCGGCCACACUGGAACUGAGACACGGUCCGGACUCCUACGUGAGGGAGCAGUAGGGAAUCUGCCGCAAUGGGCGGAAGCCUGCCGGAGCAACGCCGCGUGAGUGAUGAAGGGCUUCGGAUCGGAAGACUCUGUUAUUAGGGAAGAACAAAUGUGUAAGUAGCUGUGCACGGCUUGACGGUACCUGGUCAGAAAGCCACGGCUAACUACGUG